This is a non-coding RNA of Trichobilharzia regenti, 48 nucleotides long. Lineage: Eukaryota; Metazoa; Platyhelminthes; Trematoda; Strigeidida; Schistosomatidae. The record is from Rfam.
AGUUAGCUGACGAGUCCCAAGUAGGACGAAAUACACGUUAUCCUGGAU